GCAUGUUCACAUGAUUAAAGGUAUUCCGGUAGACGAUGGGGAUGCGUUCCAUUAGAUAGUAGGCGGGGUAACGGCCCACCUAGUCUUCGAUGGAUAGGGGUUCUGAGAGGAAGGUCCCCCACAUUGGAACUGAGACACGGUCCAAACUCCUACGGGAGGCAGCAGUGAGGAAUAUUGGUCAAUGGGCGAGAGCCUGAACCAGCCAAGUAGCGUGAAGGAUGACUGCCCUAUGGGUUGUAAACUUCUUUUAUAAAGGAAUAAAGUCGGGUAUGCAUACCCGUUUGCAUGUACUUUAUGAAUAAGGAUCGGCUAACUCCGUGCCAGCAGCCGCGGUAAUACGGAGGAUCCGAGCGUUAUCCGGAUUUAUUGGGUUUAAAGGGAGCGUAGAUGGAUGUUUAAGUCAGUUGUGAAAGUUUGCGGCUCAACCGUAAAAUUGCAGUUGAUACUGGAUAUCUUGAGUGCAGUUGAGGCAGGCGGGAUUCGUGGUGUAGCGGUGAAAUGCUUAGAUAUCACGAAGAACUCCGAUUGCGAAGGCAGCCUGCUAAGCUGCAACUGACAUUGAGGCUCGAAAGUGUGGGUAUCAAACAGGAUUAGAUACCCUGGUAGUCCACACGGUAAACGAUGAAUACUCGCUGUUUGCGAUAUACGGCAAGCGGCC
Molecule: ribosomal RNA, 658 nt
Filed under: uncultured bacterium
Lineage: Bacteria
Description: bacterial SSU rRNA
Rfam family: Bacterial small subunit ribosomal RNA
Source: RNAcentral